AAAGCCGAAUUAAAAUAAUUUGGCAAACCAAGACAAGCAACUAAACUCGUGUUCGCCUUAUGUCUAAAAAAGCAAACCGGGGCUCACAAUUCACCUCUUAUUUUACUACCUAAAGUAGCUCAGAAAUUCUGGUUCUUGCUAAGUUGGUAUUAGUGGUGUGGUUGUAGAAAUAGCGCAACGCAAACAACUUUUUUCUGCGCCAAAUUGUUGAGAUUUAGGCGACUUUAGAUAGGAACAUAAAGGAUAAAAACUCUAGUGA
Molecule: non-coding RNA, 259 nt
Organism: Schizosaccharomyces pombe (fission yeast)
Lineage: Eukaryota; Fungi; Ascomycota; Schizosaccharomycetes; Schizosaccharomycetales; Schizosaccharomycetaceae
Source: the annotation of a GenBank genome assembly